RNAcentral lists this ribosomal RNA (496 nucleotides) under uncultured bacterium. Its description in RNAcentral is "bacterial SSU rRNA". It matches the Rfam family "Bacterial small subunit ribosomal RNA", at positions 15 to 507 of the family's 1533-position model. The record is from RNAcentral.
GAUCCUGGCUCAGGAUGAACGCUAGCGGAGGCCUAAUACAUGCAAGUCGAACGGUAACAGGGGUAGCAAUACCCGCUGACGAGUGGCGCACGGGUGCGUAACACGUACACAAUCUACCUUAUACUGGAGCAUAACCUUGGGAAACUGAGGCUAAUUCUCCAUAACAUAUUGAAGAGGCAUCUCUUUAAUAUUAAAACUCAGGUGGUAUAAGAUGAGUGUGCGUCUGAUUAGCUAGUUGGUGGGGUAAUGGCUCACCAAGGCAACGAUCAGUAGCUGGUCUGAGAGGAUGAUCAGCCACACGGGCACUGAGACACGGGCCCGACUCCUACGGGAGGCAGCAGUAGGGAAUAUUGGACAAUGGGCGCAAGCCUGAUCCAGCCAUCCCGCGUGAAGGAUUAAGGCCCUCUGGGUUGUAAACUUCUUUUCUUUGGGAAUAAAAACUCCGUUUCUACGGAGCUUGAAGGUACCAGAGGAAUAAGCACCGGCUAACUCCGUG